GUUUUUUGGGAGUAGGUUGGAGGUGAAUUUGUAGUAAAAGGAUCUUUUUGUUAUGAUAAAAGAAAAAGAACUUAUCACUUGGUUAUAACUUUUAAUUUGCUGUUCUUCUUCUUCUUUAUGGCUUUUGAUUCAUGUAUCUCUCUGUGUCUGUCUGUUCCAGGCUUUGUUUCUUUUUGGAGCUUCCUGUUGGGUUUCAGGGAAGAAAAAUUAAGAAAAAAAGUAAAAGAGAUUUCUACUGAAACUAAGACUGAUUUCUUUCUUUUCUUUCUUACACACUUUCUGUUGUACAUGACUAUUUUUAGAGCCAAAUAUUAUAUGGAUUCUACCUAAUUAACUAAGAGAGGAAUGGAGCACCUUACUUAGAAGAUUAGUCUUACAAGUUUAUAAUAUCUACUUUUGCAGCUAGAUUU
RNAcentral lists this unclassified non-coding RNA (410 nucleotides) under Hevea brasiliensis (rubber tree). The record is from RNAcentral. Lineage: Eukaryota; Viridiplantae; Streptophyta; Magnoliopsida; Malpighiales; Euphorbiaceae.